UNGUGGGUAGGGCGUCUCAGCAUGGCCAC
Molecule: non-coding RNA, 29 nt
Filed under: Rattus norvegicus (Norway rat)
Lineage: Eukaryota; Metazoa; Chordata; Mammalia; Rodentia; Muridae
Source: RNAcentral